RNAcentral lists this ribosomal RNA (964 nucleotides) under uncultured bacterium. Its description in RNAcentral is "bacterial SSU rRNA". It matches the Rfam family "Bacterial small subunit ribosomal RNA", at positions 1 to 916 of the family's 1533-position model. The record is from RNAcentral.
CAAAGCUUGCACUUGAUUCGAGCGCGUUGCCUGCCUGCCCGCCGACGAUUAGAGUUUGAUCCUGGCUCAUAUUGAAGGCUGGCGGCAUGCCUUACACAUGCAAGUCGAGCGGCAGCGCGGGGGCAACCCUGGCGGCGAGCGGCGGACGGGUGAGUAAUACAUCGGAACGUGUCCUUUUGUGGGGGAUAACCAGUCGAAAGACUGGCUAAUACCGCAUGAGAUCUCACGAUGAAAGCGGGGGACCCGCAAGGGCCUCGCGCAAUUGGAGCGGCCGAUAUCGGAUUAGCUAGUUGGCGGGGUAACGGCCCACCAAGGCGACGAUCCGUAGCUGGUCUGAGAGGACGACCAGCCACACUGGAACUGAGACACGGUCCAGACUCCUACGGGAGGCAGCAGUGGGGAAUUUUGGACAAUGGGCGCAAGCCUGAUCCAGCCAUGCCGCGUGAGUGAAGAAGGCCUUCGGGUUGUAAAGCUCUUUCGGCGGGGACGAAACGGUUCGUGCCAACACCGCGGACUAAUGACGGUACCCGCAGAAGAAACACCGGCUAACUACGUGCCAGCAGCCGCGGUAAUACGUAGGGUGCAGGCGUUAAUCGGAAUUACUGGGCGUAAAGCGUGCGCAGGCGGUUUGUUAAGACAGGUGUGAAAUCCCCGGGCUUAACCUGGGAACUGCGCUUGUUACUGGCAGACUGGAGUGUGGCAGAGGGGGGUGGAAUUCCACGUGUAGCAGUGAAAUGCGUAGAGAUGUGGAGGAACACCGAUGGCGAAGGCAGCCCCCUGGGCUAACACUGACGCUCAUGCACGAAAGCGUGGGGAGCAAACAGGAUUAGAUACCCUGGUAGUCCACGCCCUAAACUAUGUCAACUGGUUGUCGGGGAAGCAAUUCCUUGGUAACGAAGCUAACGCGUGAAGUUGACCGCCUGGGGAGUACGGCCGCAAGGUUAAAACUCAAAGGAAUUGACGG